Molecule: non-coding RNA, 191 nt
Organism: Meleagris gallopavo (turkey)
Lineage: Eukaryota; Metazoa; Chordata; Aves; Galliformes; Phasianidae
Source: RefSeq, a predicted model, not a curated record
CAGCUGAAGAUUGCAGUUGCAGUGCUGUAGGGGAUGUCAAGGACAAAACCCGUGCGUCCGUGGAGUGGUGCGGGGCAAGGGGGGAAACGGAAAGCCUCCGCAGAAGCUGAUGCCAGCGGCCUUCCUCUGAAGCGCAGCCAUGUGGAAAGCCAGGGGAGGAGCACCGAGUGUGGCACAGCACCCAAGAGAGG